UACGAAGGGGGCAAGCGUUGUUCGGAAUUACUGGGCGUAAAGGGCGCGUAGGCGGCCGAUCAAGUCAGGCGUGAAAUUCCCGGGCUCAACCUGGGGGCUGCGCUUGAUACUGAUUGGCUUGAAUGCGGGAGAGGAUAGUGGAAUUCCCAGUGUAGAGGUGAAAUUCGUAGAUAUUGGGAAGAACACCGGUGGCUAAGGCGGCUAUCUGGCCCGUAAUUGACGCUGAGGCGCGAAAGCGUGGGGAGCAAACAGG
RNAcentral lists this ribosomal RNA (253 nucleotides) under uncultured bacterium. Its description in RNAcentral is "partial 16S ribosomal RNA". It matches the Rfam family "Bacterial small subunit ribosomal RNA", at positions 524 to 776 of the family's 1533-position model. The record is from RNAcentral.